RNAcentral lists this unclassified non-coding RNA (257 nucleotides) under Hevea brasiliensis (rubber tree). Lineage: Eukaryota; Viridiplantae; Streptophyta; Magnoliopsida; Malpighiales; Euphorbiaceae. The record is from RNAcentral.
AAGAGACAGCAGUUCCGGCAACAGCCCCACAAACAACUUGCUGGCUCACAGUAAGAGGGACUCCAGGUUCAGACCUCAAGAAUGCCUCUGUUUGACCUCUCACGGUGAAGAGCAGAGCAUUAAAGGCUGCAACAGUGGCAAGUGGGGCUCCCAUGCCUUUGAACAGCCCCCCGGCACCUUCCGCAGCUAAUGUUUGCCGGACAGCAUCUAUAGCACCAGAAUAUUUUGGAAGCUGCCCUGGAAGUGGAGUAGGCUGG